GUGAAACUUUGCUUCAUUGGGAUACUUGGUGCUGGUCGGUUGGAGCUAAGACGUUGGCAGUGAUUAAGAAGAGACCAGCAUCACUGAGUAUUGGGGAUGGAGCCCAGGACUUAUGUCAUACUGGGAGGCCUGUGCCUUCCAGAGAGUCACGACACCCAGCUCCGGCACUCAGCUCUUUGGGCCAGGAAGACUUCAGGCCUCUCUAGAGUUUUUUUUCCUUGUCCACAUGGCCUGCACCAUGGUCUGACCUUGGAAACUCACCUGGCACCAUUCCCUCUUCCUGUGUUGUUCCCUUACCAGAACCUGCAUCUGAGGUCAUGCUCUGGGGUUAGCUAGGCAAGUGUUGCUAUAUUGUUUUCACCCAGAGUUUGAGGUGUGACCCGAGGAAGAGUUAAUUUUGCCGUAUGAGAAACACAAGCCAGCUUGUCAACUUCUGUGAUCAACGAUUAAAAAAAAAUCUGGGGUUUAAACUUAA
Long non-coding RNA from Mesocricetus auratus (golden hamster), 475 nucleotides. RefSeq lists it as uncharacterized. Lineage: Eukaryota; Metazoa; Chordata; Mammalia; Rodentia; Cricetidae. The transcript has 3 exons. The record is from RefSeq and is a predicted model, not a curated record.